UGUGUGUGAGGUGUGUGUGUGGGGUGGUGUGGUUGAUAACGGCUCACAUAACGUGUCGCGAUGGAUGACUUGGCUUCCUAUUUCGUUGAAGAACGCAGUAAAGUGCGAUAAGUGGUAUCA
RNAcentral lists this ribosomal RNA (120 nucleotides) under Leishmania donovani. RNAcentral's name for it is "partial 5.8S ribosomal RNA". The stretch from base 50 to 120 matches the Rfam family "5.8S ribosomal RNA", at positions 1 to 70 of the family's 154-position model. From Rfam's summary of the family: 5.8S ribosomal RNA (5.8S rRNA) is a component of the large subunit of the eukaryotic ribosome. It is transcribed by RNA polymerase I as part of the 45S precursor that also contains 18S and 28S rRNA. The record is from RNAcentral. Lineage: Eukaryota; Euglenozoa; Kinetoplastea; Trypanosomatida; Trypanosomatidae.